This 77-nucleotide transfer RNA is filed under the name Anaerobacillus sp. RNAcentral describes it as "tRNA-Arg". It matches the Rfam family "tRNA". Rfam says of the family: Transfer RNA (tRNA) molecules are approximately 80 nucleotides in length. The record is from RNAcentral. RNAcentral also lists the same sequence under 1 other name. Lineage: Bacteria; Bacillati; Bacillota; Bacilli; Caryophanales; Bacillaceae.
GCGCUCUUAGCUCAGCUGGAUAGAGCAUGGCACUUCUAAUGCCAGGGUCGGGAGUUCGAAUCUCUCAGGGCGCGCCA